CUUAAUAAAGGGCGACCAGUGGUUGCUGGCAUUCCAGGGGGCAGUUCAUCACACAUACUAUGCACCACAAGUGAUGGUGAAAAAAGGGUGACAUAUACUGAUGGACGGAUUGUAUUAUUGGACUCUCCAGAAAGAACACAGUCUGUCACAGUUGAUGAAGAUGA
Carassius auratus (goldfish) is the source of this 164-nucleotide long non-coding RNA. RefSeq lists it as uncharacterized. The record is from RefSeq and is a predicted model, not a curated record. The transcript has 3 exons. Lineage: Eukaryota; Metazoa; Chordata; Actinopteri; Cypriniformes; Cyprinidae.